AGAGUUUGAUCCUGGCUCAGAACGAACGCUGGCGGCAUGGAUUAGGCAUGCAAGUCGAACGGUGACAGCAAUGUCAUAGUGGCGCAAGGGUGAGGAACGCGUGAGUGAUCUACCCUCAAGUUUGGAAUAGCUCCUGGAAACGGGAAUUAAUACCGGAUGUGAUUGCAGGACUGCAUGGUUUUGCAAUUAAAGCAGCAAUGCGCUUGAGGAGGAGCUCGCGUCCCAUUAGCUAGUUGGUGAGGUAAAGGCCCACCAAGGCGAUGAUGGGUAGCUGGUCUGAGAGGACGACCAGCCACACUGGGACUGAGAACUGCCCAGACUCCUACGGGAGGCUGCAGUCGAGAAUUUUGGGCAAUGGACGAAAGUCUGACCCAGCAAUGCCGCGUGCGGGAUGAAGGUCUUCGGAUUGUAAACCGCUGUCGAGGGGGACGAAAUAUGACGGUACCCCUGGAGGAAGCCACGGCUAACUACGUGCCAGCAGCCGCGGUAAUACGUAGGUGGCGAGCGUUGUUCGGAUUUAUUGGGCGUAAAGGGUCCGCAGGGGGUUGAUUAAGUCUGACGUGAAAUCUCUGAGCUCAACUCAGAAAUUGCGUUGGAGACUGGUUGACUAGAGUGUUGGAGAGGUAAUUGGAAUUCCAGGUGUAGCGGUGGAAUGCGUAGAUAUCUGGAAGAACAUCGAAAGCGAAGGCAGAUUACUGGACAACAACUGACCCUCAGG
Molecule: ribosomal RNA, 718 nt
Filed under: uncultured bacterium
Lineage: Bacteria
Description: bacterial SSU rRNA
Rfam family: Bacterial small subunit ribosomal RNA
Source: RNAcentral